GAUGAAGAACGCAGCGAAAUGCGAUAAGUAAUGCGAAUUGCAGAAUUCAGUGAGUCAUCGAAUCUUUGAACGCACAUUGCGCCCUUUGGUAUUCCGAAGGGCAUGCCUGUUCGAGCGUCAUUAUUAACCCUCAAGCCUUGCUUGUUGUUGGAUCUCAUCUCGUUAAAGAGAUGGGUCCGAAAGGUAUUGACGGCGUCGUGAUCGACCCCCGGUGCAACGAGCUUUACGGCACGCACGGUGGCGGUCGGCCCCGGCCCGGCCUUCACUAUAUUAUUUCUCGAAAGGUUGACCUCGGAUCAGGUAGGAAUACCCGCUGAACUUAAGCAUAUCAAUAAGCGGAGGA
RNAcentral lists this unclassified non-coding RNA (343 nucleotides) under soil metagenome. RNAcentral's name for it is "partial contains 5.8S ribosomal RNA, internal transcribed spacer 2, and large subunit ribosomal RNA". The stretch from base 1 to 120 matches the Rfam family "5.8S ribosomal RNA", at positions 35 to 154 of the family's 154-position model. The record is from RNAcentral.